RNAcentral lists this ribosomal RNA (467 nucleotides) under uncultured bacterium. Its description in RNAcentral is "partial 16S ribosomal RNA". It matches the Rfam family "Bacterial small subunit ribosomal RNA", at positions 28 to 507 of the family's 1533-position model. The record is from RNAcentral.
GAUGAACGUUGGCGGCGUGCUUAACACAUGCAAGUCGAACGGAAAGGCCCAAGCUUGCUUGGGUACUCGAGUGGCGAACGGGUGAGUAACACGUGGGUGAUCUGCCCUGCACUUCGGGAUAAGCCUGGGAAACUGGGUCUAAUACCGGAUAGGACCACUUCUUGGAUGUUGUGGUGGAAAGUUUUUUCGGUGUGGGAUGAGCUCGCGGCCUAUCAGCUUGUUGGUGGGGUAAUGGCCUACCAAGGCGUCGACGGGUAGCCGGCCUGAGAGGGUGUACGGCCACAUUGGGACUGAGAUACGGCCCAGACUCCUACGGGAGGCAGCAGUGGGGAAUAUUGCACAAUGGGCGCAAGCCUGAUGCAGCGACGCCGCGUGGGGGAUGACGGCCUUCGGGUUGUAAACUCCUUUCGCUAGGGACGAAGCGUUUUGUGACGGUACCUGGAGAAGAAGCACCGGCUAACUACGUG